CUACGGGAGGCAGCAGUCGAGAAUCUUCCGCAAUGGACGAAAGUCUGACGGAGCGACGCCGCGUGCGGGAUGAAGGCCUUCGGGUUGUAAACCGCUGUCAGUGGGGAGGAAAUGCAUCAGGGUUCUCCCUGGUGUUUGACCGAUCCGCAGAGGAAGCGCAGGCUAAGUUCGUGCCAGCAGCCGCGGUAACACGAACUGCGCGAACGUUAUUCGGAAUCACUGGGCUUAAAGAGUUCGUAGGCGGCCUUUCAAGUCGGGUGUGAAAUCCCUCGGCUCAACCGGGGAAUUGCGCCUGAUACUGUUGGGCUGGAGGGGGAUAGGGGUGAGCGGAACUGAUGGUGGAGCGGUGAAAUGCGUUGAUAUCAUCAGGAACACCGGUGGCGAAGGCGGCUCACUGGAUCUCUUCUGACGCUGAGGAACGAAAGCUAGGGGAGCGAACGGGAUUAGAUACCCGAGUAGUC
Molecule: ribosomal RNA, 461 nt
Filed under: uncultured bacterium
Lineage: Bacteria
Description: partial 16S ribosomal RNA
Rfam family: Bacterial small subunit ribosomal RNA
Source: RNAcentral